RNAcentral lists this ribosomal RNA (113 nucleotides) under Bacteroidales bacterium. Lineage: Bacteria; Pseudomonadati; Bacteroidota; Bacteroidia; Bacteroidales. The record is from RNAcentral.
UCAGGUGGUAACAGCAACGGGGAUCCACCUCUUCCCAUUCCGAACAGAGAAGUUAAGCCCGUUCACGCCUAUGAUACUGCUAUACCAAGUGGGAAAGUGGGUAGCCGCCAACU